Molecule: small nuclear RNA, 101 nt
Filed under: Nannospalax galili (Upper Galilee mountains blind mole rat)
Lineage: Eukaryota; Metazoa; Chordata; Mammalia; Rodentia; Spalacidae
Source: RNAcentral
GUGCUCAAUUCUGCACAUGAACUAAAAUUGAAAUGAUAUAGAGGUUAGCAUGGGCCCUGCACAAGGAUGAGACACAAAUUCAUGAAGUAUUCCAUACUUUA